RNAcentral lists this ribosomal RNA (704 nucleotides) under Streptomyces sp. Its description in RNAcentral is "bacterial SSU rRNA". It matches the Rfam family "Bacterial small subunit ribosomal RNA", at positions 62 to 779 of the family's 1533-position model. Lineage: Bacteria; Bacillati; Actinomycetota; Actinomycetes; Kitasatosporales; Streptomycetaceae. The record is from RNAcentral.
UCGAACGAUGAACCUCCUUCGGGAAGGGGAUUAGUGGCGAACGGGUGAGUAACACGUGGGCAAUUCUGCCCUUCACUCUGGGACAAGCCCUGGAAACGGGGUCUAAUACCGGAUAACACUGCGGAUCGCAUGGUCUGCGGUUGAAAGCUCCGGCGGUGAAGGAUGAGCCCGCGGCCUAUCAGCUUGUUGGUGGGGUGAUGGCCUACCAAGGCGACGACGGGUAGCCGGCCUGAGAGGGCGACCGGCCACACUGGGACUGAGACACGGCCCAGACUCCUACGGGAGGCAGCAGUGGGGAAUAUUGCACAAUGGGCGAAAGCCUGAUGCAGCGACGCCGCGUGAGGGAUGACGGCCUUCGGGUUGUAAACCUCUUUCAGCAGGGAAGAAGCGAAAGUGACGGUACCUGCAGAAGAAGCGCCGGCUAACUACGUGCCAGCAGCCGCGGUAAUACGUAGGGCGCAAGCGUUGUCCGGAAUUAUUGGGCGUAAAGAGCUCGUAGGCGGCUUGUCGCGUCGGAUGUGAAAGCCCGGGGCUUAACCCCGGGUCUGCAUUCGAUACGGGCAGGCUAGAGUGUGGUAGGGGAGAUCGGAAUUCCUGGUGUAGCGGUGAAAUGCGCAGAUAUCAGGAGGAACACCGGUGGCGAAGGCGGAUCUCUGGGCCAUUACUGACGCUGAGGAGCGAAAGCGUGGGGAGCGAACAGGAUU